CCACAAUGGUGAUAGCACGGGU
This 22-nucleotide microRNA is filed under the name Gallus gallus (chicken). RNAcentral describes it as "microRNA Ros-gga". The record is from RNAcentral. Lineage: Eukaryota; Metazoa; Chordata; Aves; Galliformes; Phasianidae.